Puntigrus tetrazona (Sumatra barb) is the source of this 154-nucleotide long non-coding RNA. RefSeq lists it as uncharacterized. The transcript is spliced from 3 exons. NCBI's taxonomy places the organism in Eukaryota, Metazoa, Chordata, Actinopteri, Cypriniformes, Cyprinidae. The record is from RefSeq and is a predicted model, not a curated record.
ACACAACUAUUCUGAAGCUUGAUAAAUAAAAAUAAAAUGGCAAGUAAAAGACAAAUGGAAGAAUCAGACACUUGUCCUGUCAUCCCAAAGAAGAGAGAGCCUGGCAGAGACAUACAAAUGAAGCAGUUCAAUGACCCCAUUCAUGGACACAUGG